Molecule: ribosomal RNA, 305 nt
Filed under: uncultured bacterium
Lineage: Bacteria
Description: bacterial SSU rRNA
Rfam family: Bacterial small subunit ribosomal RNA
Source: RNAcentral
CGUGCCUACGGGAGGCAGCAGUGGGGAAUAUUGGGCAAUGGGCGCAAGCCUGACCCAGCAAUGCCGCGUGAAGGAAGAAGGCCCUCGGGUUGUAAACUUCUUUUAUCAGGGACGAAGGAUGUGACGGUACCUGAUGAAUAAGCUCCGGCUAACUACGUGCCAGCAGCCGCGGUAAUACGUAGGGAGCAAGCGUUAUCCGGAUUUAUUGGGUUUAAAGGGUGCGCAGGCGGCACGGCAAGCCGGCGGUCAAAUCGCGGGGCUCAACCCCGCCCAGCCGUCGGAACUGCCGGGCUAGAGUGGGCGAG